GGUACACCUUUACAAAAGGAGGGAUUGUGUUGUUAUGGAGAAUGCUAUGCGAGGCAUUUGCCAAACACAAUGAAUUGCUGAAAGCAAAUGGACAAGGGAAUAAUGCACAGUCAUUACAUUCUAACACAGCACACAAACAUCAACUCUUGCCAAAAUACAACACUACACACGGUGCAAGUGAGAGAGUGAGUAUGCAGGAGGAGGUCAGAGCAUGCAGAGGAACAAACAGUAGAAUGAGCUUCCCAAGUCCAGACUGGAUCUGCAGUUAAACACAAGCAUUUUCCUCAGAUUUACUGCCACUACAACUCUAGGACCAGUCUGAUGGGAACAUCAGGCCAAAUUACCACCAGCAAUCCAAGAGUUCUCAAUCCACAGAGCAUCGUUUGAAUUC
Long non-coding RNA from Sinocyclocheilus grahami, 391 nucleotides. RefSeq lists it as uncharacterized. The transcript has 3 exons. The record is from RefSeq and is a predicted model, not a curated record. NCBI's taxonomy places the organism in Eukaryota, Metazoa, Chordata, Actinopteri, Cypriniformes, Cyprinidae.